CCUACGGGAGGCUGCAGUAGGGAAUAUUGCGCAAUGGACGGAAGUCUGACGCAGCGACGCCGCGUGAGCGAUGAAGGUCUUCGGAUCGUAAAGCUCUGUCCUUGGGGAAGAAGGUCUUCGGACUUGACGGUACCCAAGAAGAAAGCCCCGGCUAACUACGUGCCAGCAGCCGCGGUAAUACGGAGGGGGCGAGCGUUGUCCGGAAUUACUGGGCGUAAAGGGCUCGUAGGCGGUAACUCAAGUCAGUUGUGAAAACCGACGGCUUAACCGGAGGAUUGCAGUUGAUACUGAGUUACUUGAGGCAAGGAGAGGAAGGUGGAAUUCCCGGUGUAGCGGUGAUAUGCGUAGAUAUCGGGAGGAACCCCAGUGGCGAAGGCGGCCUUCUGGUCUUGACCUGACGCUGAGGAGCGAAAGCCAGGGUAGCGAACGGGAUUAGAUACCCGAGUAGUC
Molecule: ribosomal RNA, 450 nt
Filed under: uncultured Syntrophaceticus sp.
Lineage: Bacteria; Bacillati; Bacillota; Clostridia; Thermoanaerobacterales; Thermoanaerobacterales Family III. Incertae Sedis
Description: bacterial SSU rRNA
Rfam family: Bacterial small subunit ribosomal RNA
Source: RNAcentral